GUAGGUGAACCUGCGGAAGGAUCAUUGCCACACACGAUCCAAGAUCGACACUUUUUGUGAACUGUUAAAAAACGAUGUUAAAUGCUUGAUGAUAUUAGAGACUUCGGUCGAUAAUCUUAUUAAAGUGUUAAACAUUAUUAUUAAACACCAAAACUAAACAAACAUGAUUUAUACAUUGGAACUGAAAAUGUUAUAGCAAGUUCGUCUUACUAUAACGCUAGAUUAUUAAUUGUAAAACAACUUUUAACAAUGGAUAUCUAGGUUCUU
RNAcentral lists this unclassified non-coding RNA (267 nucleotides) under rhizosphere metagenome. RNAcentral's name for it is "partial ribosomal RNA internal transcribed spacer region". The record is from RNAcentral.